UUUUUUUUUUUUUUUUGGUCUUUUGAGGGCCGCACACAUGUAUAUGGAGGUUCCCAGGCUAGGGGUUGAAUCAUCCGAGCUGCAGCUGUUGGCCUGGGCCAGAUCUGAACCUCGUCUGCAACCUACACCAAGCUCACAGCAAUGCCGGAUCCUCAACCCACUGAGCGAGGCCAGGGAUCGAACCUGCGUCCUCAUGGAUGCUAAUCAGAUUCGUUUCUGCUAAGCCAUGAUGGGAACUCCUUCCUUUACUCUUUUUAGUAGACAGUUUGGCUGCACUUUGCUAUUCUCCUUAUGUGAUAAUAGCAGGACUUCAAGACUGUAACUGUGUGAUUUUUAAGUUACUAGCAGAGUGUGUACAGAAUGGGGCAGAAGUGAAGUGGAGUAAAUUCAUUUUUAUUUGAAUUUGAAAUUGCCAACUCUGUUCCUCUCUGGGUUUCUUUUAAUCUCCCAUUGAUCUAUGCAUUUAAAUUUGGGGAUUGAAUUUUGCACCAGCAGAGUGAGGUCUGAGGUCUGGCCUGUAUUUCAGCCACACCAACGAGAAGCCAAAAUGCUCUUUGGGGGUAAUUAGCGUCCUCACUUCUUUGUGUGUUCUCGAUAAGUCCGGUUAUCCCAGGGCACAAACUACUUCCAGGAGAUAAUUAGGGGCUGCCGAGAGCUACAUGAACUCUGCCAGGCCACAGGGGCGUUGUAAAUGACUACUUCGCAGAGAGACUUAUCUGCUUUCAGCAACUUGCAGCACCUCAACCUUAUCCCCACAAGGCUUGGACACAGACUGCUUGGAUUAUUACAUUCUCAUUUGGAAGCUUUGAGUCUCUUUUUACGGAGACGGAUGUCAUUAUGUCUUAAAGGUAGCUUUGGGGACCGGAAGAGUUAAUGCCACACAUUUGGACAAGCGGUAGAAAAUGAGGACAUAGCUUGAGGUCCGGGAAAGAGCAUUCAUCAAGAUUCUCUUUGAUUCAUGAUGGUCUGUCUGAAUUUUACAGCCAACUUCCCUCAUUAUCUUUCUCAAAUUGUCCAGUACUCGUAAUGAGAGCUGCAUGGCUGUUGCUUAUAAAAUCCCAAUUAAGUGCCGCACCCUUUUCAUUUAUUAUUUCUCAUCUUACAAUAACUGAGUUAUAAUAAUCAUAGGAGCAAACACAUGGUGACUAAGACUAUACCAGCAUUAUUCUGAGCCCUUAUUUUAAGCCAUGAGUGUCUCCAAGCCUAUAUGUUUUAUGUCUCUUUAGGAAUGUCUGGAAUUCUCUUCUCUAGCAUCAAUUAGAAUAUUCUUUUUCUCUUUCUAAGACUAUUCUGAUUUUCAGAAACAGGACAUCUAGAGACUCUCGAAGAAUAAUUAAUGAACGCUCACAUAACCACUGCCCAGAAUGACAACUUUUAGCCUUUCAUAUAUGUUUAAAGACUGAGUUUUUAUUACUUCAUAUAAUGUCUGGCAUACUUUAAUACACCACAUAAUCUCCAGCUUCCAUUUGUCCCCCACUCACAGAUGUACUUCUCAUUUCCCGCAGCCAUCCCAGCCACGAUGCGAGAGCCUCAUCACAUAUUUACAUCCAUUUCAACAUGUAUUAUAUUUGCAUGUAUUUUAAAUUCACGCAUGUGUUUCACACUUGACAUAGCAUUCUUCACCUUUGUCCACUUAACAUGGUUUUUGAGAUCUACCCAUAUGAACGCACAAAGAUCUGGCUCUUUCUGCUUACCACCCUUUCAAGGUCCCAUCACAUCAACCUGCCACCUCUUAUUUAUUCCCCUAUAGGUGGUUACUGGGUUGGUUUCUGAUAGCUCAUUAUUGCUAAUAAAGUGACUACAUAUAUCUUGAUAAGUAUCUGGUUUUGCUUGUCGGGCUGCCAGACAAAGUACCAUAGCUAGAUGGCUUAUGUAACACAUUUAUUUUCUCACAGUUCUAGAAGCUGAAGUCCUAGAUAAAAGUGUCCGCUGGUUUGGUUGCUCCUGAAUUCUCUCCUUGGCUUGUGGAUGGUUGCCAUCUCUGGGUCCCAAGUGGUCUUUUCUCUGUGCACAUCCAUCCGUGGGGCCUCUCUUUUUUCUUAGAAAGACCCCACUCAUACUAGAUUAGCCCCACCGCCACCCCCAGCCCCACCCCCCCUACAACAUCAUUUAAUUUGAAUGAUCUCUCUAAAGACCCUUUCUCUAAAUACAGCCUCCUUGUGAAAGGUGUCCUGUCUGUCCACGUUCUAGCCACGUGACUUCAGCACGCUCCUCGGCCUUGCAGCUCCUCACCCACAGUAAAACCCAUCUGUCUCCUGGGUGAUUUUUAGAAAAACAACAUGUAAAGCAUCGCCCUGGGCCUCACUCAGCAUCAGCUAUUGGGAGGUCUACUUGUGUAUAUGAAGACAUGUUUAUCUAGGAAUAGAACUGGUCAUGGAAUUUCCGAGACUCAGGGAACAGAUUUUCAGUUCUUCUAGGUUCAGCCAAACUGCUCUCCGUGGUGGUUACACCAAGGAACACUUCCUCUGGCCAAGUCCAAGGGUUCUUGUAUCCUCAUUUUCUGGCCAAGCAUUGAUCUUUUCCAAACUCUAACAUUUCUGUGCAUCUGACGUUUGAGCAAAAGCAUGUCCUUGUUUAGCACAUGCUUUGAGUUAUGCCUGUUUCGGGAGAUCUAUGGAGCAUAAGGGAGAAAACAUGCAGGCACUUCCGUGUGCUUCUCAGAAUUAUUUCCUUGGCACCGUCCACAGCAAAGACAAAUACAAAGGAAACCUCUCUUUGGCUAGAGAUGGAUACAAGCAGGGAGCCAGUCGGGUGCCUCUGAUCUCUGGUUCUUUUUCUGAACUUUCAGGGAUUUUUACAUCUCCUUCAGGAAAUAAAGUGUAUCUUUCCACGGGACACUCUCCAAAGUUUAGGAAAGUGAAGUAACCCUUUCCUGGGGACAAUUUUCCUUUGGCUGAGGCAUUGGCUCUCAAAUGUGAUGUUCAAGAAUCUUCUGCAGAGCUUGUUAAUAGUGCCAGUUUCUGAAUUACACCGUCAGAGUCUUAUGCCGCAGACAAGGGUCCGCAUUUUAACAAGUACUCUCGCGAUUCACUCCAGGACGUAUGUAGCUCUCACUGUGAGAAACACAGCUUUCAAAGAUUCUCUGGGUACGUUGCUAAGCAUAGGACUAUUAUGUAAACGCUGAAUUGUAUCUCAGUCUAAGUAAACCUCCAGUUUGCAGGCAAACAUGGGCUUUGGAAAUGUGCCUUCUUGAGUCUUAUGUUUUCCGUUUAAUGUGAAAGCCAGUGACUAGGAAAUUGCUCAGGGUCUUUCCAGUUCUGAUGUUCUGCGUUCUGGUUCUGUUAUAUGCCUGACCCAUUUGUGGCUGGGUCUGCACUACCCUGUGCAGGGACAGUGUUCAUAGAUCAUGGAUCAUUUACUGGCAACAAUAAUGCAUUUCUCUCAGAAACUGGAAACUCAGGGAAAUAAGGCUACCCAUUGAAAAUUGAAUACUCAAUUGAACUUUUCAUUGAACAUGGCAGAUAAGAUUGUUACAUUUGUAACUGUCCCUCAGAAGGUAGAGAAUCUCCCAGAUUUAAAAAACAAACAAACAAUCAAAAACCAACAAGGAGUUCCUGUCAUGGCUCAGCGGUUAACGAACCCGACUAGUAUCCCUGAGGACACAGGUUCGAUCCCUGGCCUGGUUCAGUAGGUUAAGGAUCUGGCAUUGCCGUGAGCUGUGGUGUAGGUCACAGACACAGCUCGGAUCCUGCAUUGCUGUGGCUGUGGUGUAGGCCAGAAGCUGUAGCUCCUAUUGGAUCCUUAGCCUGGGAACCUCCAUAUGCC
Molecule: long non-coding RNA, 3765 nt
Filed under: Sus scrofa (pig)
Lineage: Eukaryota; Metazoa; Chordata; Mammalia; Artiodactyla; Suidae
Description: lncRNA (ENSSSCG00000051987.1)
Source: RNAcentral